CUAGCGACAGGCUUAACACAUGCAAGUCGAGGGGCAGCACAGGUAGCAAUACCGGGUGGCGACCGGCGCACGGGUGAGUAACGCGUAUGCAACUUACCUAUCAGAGGGGGAUAGCCCGGCGAAAGUCGGAUUAAUACCCCAUAAAACAGGGGCCCCGCAUGGGGAUAUUUGUUAAAGAUUCAUCGCUGAUAGAUAGGCAUGCGUUCCAUUAGGCAGUUGGCGGGGUAACGGCCCACCAAACCGACGAUGGAUAGGGGUUCUGAGAGGAAGGUCCCCCACAUUGGUACUGAGACACGGACCAAACUCCUACGGGAGGCAGCAGUGAGGAAUAUUGGUCAAUGGGCGCGAGCCUGAACCAGCCAAGUCGCGUGAAGGAUGAAGGUUCUAUGGAUUGUAAACUUCUUUUAUAUGGGAAUAAAAUGCGGGACGUGUCCCGUUUUGUAUGUACCGUAUGAAUAAGCAUCGGCUAACUCCGUGCCAGCAGCCGCGGUAAUACGGAGGAUGCGAGCGUUAUCCGGAUUUAUUGGGUUUAAAGGGUGCGUAGGUCGUAAUUUAAGUCAGCGGUGAAAGUUUGUGGCUCAACCAUAAAAUUGCCGUUGAAACUGGAUUACUUGAGUGUGUUUGAGGUAGGCGGAAUGCGUGGUGUAGCGGUGAAAUGCAUAGAUAUCACGCAGAACUCCGAUUGCGAAGGCAGCUUACUAAACCAUAACUGACACUGAAGCACGAAAGCGUGGGGAUCAAACAGGAUUAGAUACCCUGGUAGUCCACGCAGUAAACGAUGAUUACUAGGAGUUUGCGAUACAAUGUAAGCGUCUACAGCGAAAGCGUUAAGUAAUCCACCUGGGGAGUACGCCGGCAACGGUGAAACUCAAAGGAAUUGACGGGGGCCCGCACAAGCGGAGGAACAUGUGGUUUAAUUCGAUGAUACGCGAGGAACCUUACCCGGGUUUGAACGCAUAUGGACCGGGGUGGAAACACCCCUUCUAGCAAUAGCCAUUUGCGAGGUGCUGCAUGGUUGUCGUCAGCUCGUGCCGUGAGGUGUCGGCUUAAGUGCCAUAACGAGCGCAACCCUUAUCACUAGUUACUAACAGGUCGUGCUGAGGACUCUGGUGAGACUGCCAGCGUAAGCUGUGAGGAAGGUGGGGAUGACGUCAAAUCAGCACGGCCCUUACAUCCGGGGCGACACACGUGUUACAAUGGUGGGGACAAAGGGCAGCUACCUGGCGACAGGAUGCCAAUCUCCAAACCCCAUCUCAGUUCGGAUCGAAGUCUGCAACCCGACUUCGUGAAGCUGGAUUCGCUAGUAAUCGCGCAUCAGCCAUGGCGCGGUGAAUACGUUCCCGGGCCUUGUACACCCCGCCCGUCAAGCCAUGGGAGCCGGGGGUACCUGAAGUCCGUAACCGCAAGGAUCGGCCUAGGGUAAAACUGGUGACUGGGGCUAAGUCGUAACAAGGUAGCCGUACCGGAAGGUGCGGCUG
RNAcentral lists this ribosomal RNA (1478 nucleotides) under human gut metagenome. Its description in RNAcentral is "bacterial SSU rRNA". It matches the Rfam family "Bacterial small subunit ribosomal RNA". The record is from RNAcentral.